UACCGCUUUGACCAAUCCAGAAAAGUCCUCCUUUUCCUUCUUCCCUAUCCUAGACCUCCCCGUGCCUUCCAGAACAUGGGCAAUCUUAAGCCCCAUAUUCCCAGCGAAACCACCCCCAUCUCCAUGGCCGCUGGCGCCGCCCGACUCCCCCGCCAGGCAGCUUUGCCGUGUGUCGGAAUCUGCUCCGGCGUCGCGGCCUUCACUGAGGUGCUCCGGCUUCCCGGCGCAGCUCCUCGCGGGGCCUACGACCUCAACCUGGCAGCUGGUCACCUGGUCCGCCCUGUGGGCAUCAGCGGCUGCGCGUGCGUAGGUAUGCCCUCCAGACCGCGUCCUCCUCUAUCCCGCAACCCCAAGCCUCGCGAGCCGUGGUGACCGGGAGGGCUGUCGCAAAGAGCAGCACACGCAGCUACCGAUUUGAGCAGUCGCGGUUUUCAGUAAAAGACAAGUGACCGCAAGGACACAAUUACUCUGUUCGAUUCAAGAGCAUCCCGAGCGAAGAAUCAAGAAGCGCUAAAUACACCGACUACAGAGUUUCCUGCUGACAGACGAUGUUUUAUCAAGACAUCACGACUAACUUCAGGUUAGUUAGUGUCGCUGCACGUCCAUAGAGGCAUCCAGCAGCACACUUCCCUGUCAGCUUGAAGAGAAGGCUGUCGAACGACUUUGCAAUGUUGAUUACUUCGGUCUUGAGGUAAUUUCUGUCUAUAUAGUUUAUUUUAGUGCGAUCCUUAAUUGUAUCUACUGUAAAUCUACUCAAACUUAAUCACCCUCUUUUAUUUCAUAAAACAAAUACUUUUUAAUUAUAGACUGAAUUUUUUCAUUUAAGUUAUGGGUGGAACUACUCUUAAACGUUUGACCAAUAUUUUACCAUGUAAUCGAGUUGCAUCAUGGUUGCCUAGGCCAGUGCCCCUUUUGUCCUUUUAAAUCCACACACUGCAAUACUGGUUCAGCUCUUUCAGCUACAUAAUAUCUCCUGUUUUAUGGGCAUGCUUGCACUACCUUUGGGUGCAACAUAGAGUGGCAUUGGUCUUACAUACUUUUUUAAUGAUAAUGACACAUGUUUCCAUACAAAUAUGAUGUAUUAUAGGUUUGUAGUCUCACAUUAUAUUCUCCCUAAUAUCUCGCAUAUACUUUGAUCCUAUCCCUCUUAGUGUGUUCCCAUGCCCGAGUCACCAGCGACCUCGAUUCUGUGCUGACUUUUUAUAUCUUUGUACUGCGUCGGCGUUGCCUCAAGCACAGGGAGAAAGGGGCAUGACACAGGCUGCAGCUGGCGAUGGUGUGCUUGGCGCAACAGAGUGGUGUUAAUAUUACCACGAAAUAGGCGUUAUGUAAAUUGUUCUUCAGGUCUAUCUUUAAAGGGGGUCCUAUGUGCAGAAGGUGAGUUAUCAGAAACCAUGGUCACUAUAAGUUUACAGUAUUUGAGUUACAUGUGAGAUUUCUAAAUUUAACUUUUAGGCAUGGUAUUUGCAGGCUAACAUUUACUCAAAAUAUAUGCUUUUGUUGUACCUUUCCUUCUUCUGUUCAGAUUUAUUUGAUGUCCCAAUGCUUAUACUAUGUGCAGAUGCUCCUCUUUUGAUAAGCACGGCGUGUGGCCACAGCUUAUGUACUUCCCCUUCUACACCCACUAUUUUUGCUUCCAAUAUUGUUAUCAAAUAACUGUCACAAAUGCUCAUCCAGCAAUUUCUAGCUUCUUAAAUUACACAUUGCUAAGAGCGUUGGUAUCCCAUUCAUACAGACUACUUUCACUGCAGUAUUGUUAAAAAAUGAUUAUCACGGACAAGAUAAUGUUUACAUCUUUGCUCCUCCUAAAAUGUGGAUUAUUCUAGCUCCAAAUACUAUCAGAAAAUGAUCAUCACACUUGCUGAUUUAAUGAUGCUUCCAUCUUUUCGAACCACAUGUUGUUCAGAUACACUUUCAGAUAUACAUGUAUUAAGAUGACCAAUAAUAAUCAAAAUCAUUCAGUUUUCUUUGUAUACAUUUCUUCUGGCAAAUCGUGGUUGCAUUUUUUGGUACAAGUAACUUUCAAUUGCAUUUCAGGGUCAUGUCUUUACUUCAUACACUUUGUGUACUUCCUUACAUACUAAGGCUGUCUUCUGUUCCACAUGUUGUUACUGUUACUGCUUUUUAAUAAUGCAUUUUUGCAAAAUAUUAUUCUUCCCUAACAGUUCUUUGUCCGUGAUGAUAUUCUCUGGUAAAAUGAACUUCCUUCUUUCACGCAAUUAUUUGAUUUUCACCUCUGCAUUAUCUAGGAGGUAUAUGUUACCGGUGCUUCGAAUAUGUCCAUAUCUGUUUGGUGCUCGACAAGGUUGAGCAGAUACGACCUUCAUGUGUGAUUGUUUGGGCUGGUUGCUUCUCCAGCUAAUGUUUCUUCUUUUGUGGGGAAUAUUCUUGAUGGAACACUUAAAGCUUCCUGCUUAUAAUGCUUGGAACCAGCAUUUAAUUGAUGCUAGCGAUAUCUGUGUGCACAUGAAUUUAUUUAUUUUGGAUUUAGUCUAUCAACAUAAUUCUUUCGAUUAUGACAAACCGUUAUAAUUUGCCUCUUUCAGGUUGGGAUGCCUUCCCUUAUUAAUUUCUACUUCUCUUUUUUGCCCAGAUAUUCAGGUCUAUUUUAAAGAAACCGGUACCAGAAAUAUAUGUAGUAUGGCAAUGAAUGAGGCCAUAGAGCAUUUUCAGAGUAUUUUCAGGUUGAAGCUUUGUUCCCGUGUUGUGUUCUUCCAUUUACCCUGAUAAGCAGUGCAAGCAACAUUCUAUGAACAAGUUAUGUGGGCUGGAACUCCUGUGUGCACAUAACAAGUGCUUUUUUGUUCUCUUCAUAUUGGCUGCCACAUGCAGUUCUCUGCUUAGGAAAUGCAUGAACCUGAGCAGUGACGUGAUAGGGUAAGUUAGCCUAUAGAAGCUGUAAUUCAGCACAUGAAUUCUGAGUAGGUAAUUAGGUGUAUUCUUCUACAUGGAUUUAGAUCUUAGAAAGCUGCUCCUGAAAGCAAAUGUUCAGAGUAAAUUUCGUUUGCAGGUUUACCAAGAAAAUACUACAGCGAUUAAUCAUAAGGCAUACUUUUGAUCCUAGAACAGGAAGUGUAUUUGCACAGUAUGAUAUAACACACCAGUUUGUUAUAAUUGCCUCUAGAACGACUAUUAGCUAAUCAGAAUUGUCCGUACUGUAAAAGUUCAGUGUUGUUGAUGCUAAAUGGACCAGACGAAGUAAUUGCAUAGCAUCCGUUUUAGGAUUUGGAACGUUAAAAAUCUAUUGAAGGAAUUUAUAUGGAAAUAAGAAAAGGUUUGUGCAUUUAGGGGUAUGUGUUUCUCCUCUUCUCUUCAAUUCAGUUUGUUGACCAUAUGAAUGAGGUCCACAUGAUACACAUUCGGGAUACUGAUGUGGUACACAUGAAGUACUCUAAGAUUACAAAAGUGUGAUUUAAAAGCUGAGUUUUGUCUCCAUUCUGCUUUGAUUGGCGUGGAUAGAUUUCUACAAACAUAAGUUCAGAUUAAUUGUUUCAAUGCUAACUGUAGUAAUUUUUCUCCAGAAUGAUGUACAUAUUAGAGUUGAUCUACUUCUAAUUUCCUUGCAGUCAGUUCUUACAGUUUGCCUACUUUUUAACCAUGACUUCAAACCUAGAUUUGUAACAACAAAUUACUGUUUGUGUACCGAUCAGGUAUUGACGAGUCAAGGAGUAAAGUGUUAACGAGUCAAGGAAAUCUUUUGAGUAAUUCUGCAUACUGAAGAAUGAGAUAGGGGGCUCACUCAUAUCCUUUAUGCUUACUUUUUAUUUAGAAUAUUUUCCACUGUAAAUAUUCUUCUCUCUAUGGAUUCAAAAUUCUCCAGAUUUUGCGACUGUAAAUUCCCUAUGUUCAGAGGACAAUAGUAGGAAAAUGAUGGUGGGUCACAAAAUAUGCCACGCAGUGCAA
Molecule: non-coding RNA, 3903 nt
Organism: Lolium perenne
Lineage: Eukaryota; Viridiplantae; Streptophyta; Magnoliopsida; Poales; Poaceae
Source: RefSeq, a predicted model, not a curated record